Lethenteron reissneri (Far Eastern brook lamprey) is the source of this 230-nucleotide long non-coding RNA. RefSeq lists it as uncharacterized. NCBI's taxonomy places the organism in Eukaryota, Metazoa, Chordata, Hyperoartia, Petromyzontiformes, Petromyzontidae. The record is from RefSeq and is a predicted model, not a curated record.
CCGCAAACCUCUGCAGCAAGCUGGAACAAAACGCGUGACCGCCCGACCACGUCGCCGCCAUUCUGAGGACUCCACAGAACAUUCCUCUCGAGGCACGUCAACAACAUCGUAAGGCGCCUGUCAUCCUUGGCUGGAUUCCAUCAGCUACUCUCAACUCCCUCCACUGGCUUCCCAUCGCCAGGAGGGUUGGCUACAAAGUCACCUGCUGCCUGUGGCACCACACCUUUACC